This 801-nucleotide long non-coding RNA is filed under the name Felis catus (domestic cat). Its description in RNAcentral is "lncRNA (ENSFCAG00000047539.1)". Lineage: Eukaryota; Metazoa; Chordata; Mammalia; Carnivora; Felidae. The record is from RNAcentral.
AGGGUAUGUAAAAUUCCAACUUAAAUAUAUCAAUCUUCCCCAUUUUCUGUAUUAGAUAUAUUUAUGAACUUGAAAGGUCUUACCUGAAUAAUGCAACCAAGUUUACAAUACCCAGGAUAAGCAAGUUCAGUAAGCUCCUCCUCUGGAAAAAUCUGUUAGCAGGGACUGUAUAAAUCCAUGUAAGUAUACUAACUCUCAAAAUCAUUUAUUGUAGUAUAAAUAAACUACUUAAAAGCUAUAAGAGCCCAUGGACAAUUGUUUGUUUGUUUGUUUGUUUUUGUUUUUCUCCUAGUAGAUAGUGAGACAUUUUAGGCAAAGGCUGAUCUGAGUUGAUAUAUUUGUAUUCUCAACACUUACAAUAGUACCUGAUAUAUAAUGAUGUUCCCUGUAUGUUUGUUGAAAAAAUAAAUAAGUGAAUGAAAUGUAUAUUUCAUCAACUACCAAGCAACGUUAACAUAAAGAAAACAUCAAACAAGUCAAAUUUUAAUGCUCAGAUAAGAACUUCCUACGGAGAAAAAUCUGCUGCUCCAGGAGAGAGCCCAAGCGAUUUCAGACUUGCAACUUCAAGUGCGCAGCAUGUUAAUGUUGUUUCUGCUUCUCUCUAUCCCCAUGGCUGCAGCUUCUUUGGGGGGCUCUUGUUAACUCUGUCUGCAUGAAUAAACCAUAAAGAAAGCUUUGCUCAUUCUAUCAAUAUAUUCUGCAUUUCCCAAAGUGUGUCAUAAAAUUUCCAACAUAAUUUUUAAAAAGGCUGAAUAGUGCAUGGUCAAUAAAUAAAUAAAUAAGAAAAGAAAAGAAAAUUUA